GCGUAAAGCGUGCGUAGGCGGUUCGUUAAGUCAGAUGUGAAAGCCCUGGGCUCAACCUGGGAACUGCAUUUGAAACUGGCGGACUAGAGUUUAGUAGAGGGGAGUGGAAUUUCAGGUGUAGCGGUGAAAUGCGUAGAUAUCUGAAGGAACACCAGUGGCGAAGGCGACUCCCUGGACUAGAACUGACGCUGAGGUACGAAAGCGUGGGUAGCAAACAGGAUUAGAUACCCUGGUAGUCCACGCCGUAAACGAUGUCGACUAGCCGUUGGUCCUAUUUACAGGAUUAGUGGCGCAGCUAAGCGCAUUAAGUCGACCGCCUGGGGAGUACGGCCGCAAGGUUAAAACUCAAAUGAAUUGACGGGGGCCCGCACAAGCGGUGGAGCAUGUGGUUUAAUUCGAUGCUACGCGAAGAACCUUACCUACCCUUGACAUCCAGAGAAUCUGUUAGAGAUAGUAGAGUGCCUUCGGGAGCUCUGAGACAGGUGCUGCAUGGCUGUCGUCAGCUCGUGUCGUGAGAUGUUGGGUUAAGUCCCGUAACGAGCGCAACCCUUAUCCUUAGUUGCCAGCGGGUCAUGCCGGGAACUCUAGGGAGACUGCCGGUGAUAAACCGGAGGAGGGUGGGGACGACGUCAAGUCAUCAUGGCCCUUACGGGUAGGGCUACACACGUGCUACAAUGGCCGGUACAGAGGGCUGCGAACUUGCGAAAGUAAGCAAAUCCCAGAAAGCCGGUCUUAGUCCGGAUUGGAGUCUGCAACUCGACUCCAUGAAGUCGG
RNAcentral lists this ribosomal RNA (774 nucleotides) under uncultured Methylobacter sp. RNAcentral's name for it is "bacterial SSU rRNA". It matches the Rfam family "Bacterial small subunit ribosomal RNA", at positions 558 to 1329 of the family's 1533-position model. Lineage: Bacteria; Pseudomonadati; Pseudomonadota; Gammaproteobacteria; Methylococcales; Methylococcaceae. The record is from RNAcentral.